RNAcentral lists this ribosomal RNA (253 nucleotides) under uncultured bacterium. RNAcentral's name for it is "partial 16S ribosomal RNA". It matches the Rfam family "Bacterial small subunit ribosomal RNA", at positions 524 to 776 of the family's 1533-position model. The record is from RNAcentral.
UACGUAGGGGGCAAGCGUUGUCCGGAAUCAUUGGGCGUAAAGCGCGUGUAGGCGGUUCGAUAAGUCUGCUGUGAAAGUCCAGGGCUCAACCCUGGGAUGCCGGUGGAUACUGUCGGACUGGAGUACGGAAGAGGCGAGUGGAAUUCCCGGUGUAGCGGUGAAAUGCGCAGAUAUCAGGAGGAACACCGAUGGCGAAGGCAGCUCGCUGGGACGGUACUGACGCUGAGACGCGAAAGCGUGGGGAGCAAACAGG